UACGGAGGGUGCAAGCGUUGUCCGGAUUUAUUGGGUUUAAAGGGUGCGUAGGCGGCCCGUUAAGUCAGCGGUGAAAUCCCAGGGCUCAACCCUGGAACUGCCGUUGAUACUGGCGGGCUUGAGUUCGGUCGAGGCAGGCGGAACUGGUGGUGUAGCGGUGAAAUGCAUAGAUACCACCAAGAACCCCGAUUGCGUAGGCAGCUCGCUAGGCCGAAACUGACGCUGAGGCACGAAAGCGUGGGGAGCGAACAGG
Molecule: ribosomal RNA, 253 nt
Filed under: uncultured bacterium
Lineage: Bacteria
Description: partial 16S ribosomal RNA
Rfam family: Bacterial small subunit ribosomal RNA
Source: RNAcentral